RNAcentral lists this ribosomal RNA (301 nucleotides) under uncultured bacterium. RNAcentral's name for it is "partial 16S ribosomal RNA". It matches the Rfam family "Bacterial small subunit ribosomal RNA", at positions 509 to 807 of the family's 1533-position model. The record is from RNAcentral.
CAGCAGCCGCGGUAAUACAGAGGAUGCAAGCGUUAUCCGGAAUGAUUGGGCGUAAAGCGUCUGUAGGUGGCUUUUCAAGUCCGCCGUCAAAUCCCAGGGCUCAACCCUGGACAGGCGGUGGAAACUACCAAGCUGGAGUACGGUAGGAGCAGAGGGAAUUUCCGGUGGAGCGGUGAAAUGCGUUGAGAUCGGAAAGAAUACCAACGGCGAAAGCACUCUGCUGGGCCGACACUGACACUGAGAGACGAAAGCUAGGGGAGCAAAUGGGAUUAGAUACCCCUGUAGUCCCUGUCUCUUAUAC